Molecule: long non-coding RNA, 261 nt
Filed under: Brassica napus (rape)
Lineage: Eukaryota; Viridiplantae; Streptophyta; Magnoliopsida; Brassicales; Brassicaceae
Description: long non-coding RNA (BNAP_LNC017410)
Source: RNAcentral
GGUUUGGGUUUAAAGUAGGUUUGUGUUUAGGGUUUAUAGUUUUGGUUUAGGUUCAAGAGUUUGGGUUUAGGGUUUAGUUUAAGGGUUUAUACGAUAUAAUUUUGGUUUAGGUUCUACCAUUUGGAUUUAGAGUUCUUGUUUAGGGUUUAGUUAUUGGAUUUAGCGUUUACAGUUUAACUUUUAUGGUUUAGGGUUUACAUUGCGGUGAUAGCGUCGCUAAAAUUAACAUUUUUUCCUUUUGGAAUUUCGAAUUUAAAAAAA